AGAGUUUGAUCCUGGUUCAGAACGAACGCUGGCGGCAGGCUUAACACAUGCAAGUCGAACGGGCCCUUCGGGUCAGUGGCAGACGGGUGAGUAACGCGUGGGAACGUGCCCUUCAGUUCGGAAUAACCCAGGGAAACUUGGGCUAAUACCGGAUACGUGCGAGAGCAGAAAGAUUUAUCGCUGAAGGAUCGGCCCGCGUCUGAUUAGCUAGUUGGUAGGGUAAUGGCCUACCAAGGCGACGAUCAGUAGCUGGUCUGAGAGGAUGAUCAGCCACAUUGGGACUGAGACACGGCCCAAACUCCUACGGGAGGCAGCAGUGGGGAAUAUUGGACAAUGGGCGCAAGCCUGAUCCAGCCAUGCCGCGUGAGUGAUGAAGGCCUUAGGGUUGUAAAGCUCUUUCGUCCGGGACGAUAAUGACGGUACCGGAAGAAGAAGCCCCGGCUAACUUCGUGCCAGCAGCCGCGGUAAUACGAAGGGGGCUAGCGUUGUUCGGAAUCACUGGGCGUAAAGGGCGCGUAGGCGGCUUUGUAAGUCGGGGGUGAAAGCCUGUGGCUCAACCACAGAAUUGCCUUCGAUACUGCAUGGCUUGAGACCGGAAGAGGUAAGUGGAACUGCGAGUGUAGAGGUGAAAUUCGUAGAUAUUCGCAAGAACACCAGUGGCGAAGGCGGCUUACUGGUCCGGUUCUGACGCUGAGGCGCGAAAGCGUAGGGAGCAAACAGGAUUAGAUACCCUGGUAGUC
This 740-nucleotide ribosomal RNA is filed under the name uncultured Alphaproteobacteria bacterium. Its description in RNAcentral is "bacterial SSU rRNA". It matches the Rfam family "Bacterial small subunit ribosomal RNA", at positions 8 to 795 of the family's 1533-position model. The record is from RNAcentral. Lineage: Bacteria; Pseudomonadati; Pseudomonadota; Alphaproteobacteria.